RNAcentral lists this transfer RNA (74 nucleotides) under Euzebyales bacterium. RNAcentral describes it as "tRNA-Thr". It matches the Rfam family "tRNA". Rfam says of the family: Transfer RNA (tRNA) molecules are approximately 80 nucleotides in length. Their secondary structure includes four short double-helical elements and three loops (D, anti-codon, and T loops). Further hydrogen bonds mediate the characteristic L-shaped molecular structure. tRNAs have two regions of fundamental functional importance: the anti-codon, which is responsible for specific mRNA codon recognition, and the 3' end, to which the tRNAs corresponding amino acid is attached (by aminoacyl-tRNA synthetases). tRNAs cope with the degeneracy of the genetic code in two manners: having more than one tRNA (with a specific anti-codon) for a particular amino acid; and 'wobble' base-pairing, i.e. permitting non-standard base-pairing at the 3rd anti-codon position. Lineage: Bacteria; Bacillati; Actinomycetota; Nitriliruptoria; Euzebyales. The record is from RNAcentral.
GCCGGGAUAGCUCAGCUGGUCAGAGCAGCGCUCUUGUAAAGCGAAGGUCGCGGGUUCGAAUCCCGCUCCCGGCU